RNAcentral lists this long non-coding RNA (568 nucleotides) under Setaria viridis. Its description in RNAcentral is "long non-coding RNA (SVIR_LNC003669)". The record is from RNAcentral. Lineage: Eukaryota; Viridiplantae; Streptophyta; Magnoliopsida; Poales; Poaceae.
CAUUGAAGGGUUAGUCUUGCAGAGUACCUUUGUACUCAAGGUUUGUGUAACCAUUGUUGCGGUUGAAGAAGGUCAGUAGAUGACCUGUGCUUGGAGGAGGAAGCUCCCGAAGAUGAGGAAAGACAACUAUCUGAUGGUUUGUAAUAUCCCAUUGCUGUAAAUUAUUUGUUUAAAGUUGUAAUAUCUGUGACAAGCUCCUGCAUGUGCGAUCUGGAAUAUAUGGAUGUAUCAGUUGAAAGUGGAGUCUUUGGGUGAGUUGAGGACACCCGACGGACUAUCGGGUUUACACUGAUUCAAGUACGUGGUGUGUGUUGGACGCUCAGAGCCUGAAUCGACGUACUUGAGUUAGUUUAAACUGGACGGUUCUGCCACAUAUUGGAUUGCUUUUGAGGGGGUCCCUGCCUCUCUUUAUAUAUCUUGAGGCAGGGUUACAGAUCGCUUAUUACAAGAAUACUAGUCAUAUGCAACUAGAAGAAACCUACUCUUAUUUCAACAAGUACUUUACUUAUCCUCGACUAAUUCUAUCGAUUCCGUGAUCUACUAUGCCAUCUUGCACCAUAGUGUUCAU